UGUAUAUUCCCCAUGCCCCCUCCCAAGUUGCUGUUGGAUGAUAAUGAAGAUAAUGCCUCAGCCCUCCUAUCCCACUGCACUGCAGCCUCUAAUUGAUUUCCCCUAGGAAGCGACAGCUGCCAUGGAGCCUCACACCCCUUGCACCCACGGCCUUUGGGACUGUGUUUGGGAUAUCAUCAUAUACUGUAAGUUUGUUUUAAGACACUACAGUAUAGAUGAUGUACUACACCAAGUCUCACAAGCACGCACUGUCCACGCGCCAAUGAGAUUCAGCAGGAUUAUGUCGCCUCUUCUGACUUUCAUUUCUCCCACAUAGCACUUUAAUGGUUAAUACAAUGUCUCUUGCCAAUGCAUAAUUAACUAAUUGUCCGUCACACAGGCCAGCCAAACACAUUUAUAUUAGAUGUAAUUAAAGUAGAUUUUAGCUAAUAAGAAAAUGUACUAUUUAUAGACAAAGUACUCUCUUCCAUGUCCUCUACUAAUAGACAGUAAAUAGAUUACUGCAUGCUCAGACUGCUCCCUCAGCUUUAUAUAUUUAUAUAUAUUUAUAUAUAUAUAUAUGUAUAUACACAGUAUAUAUAUAUAUAUAUAUACAGUAUAUAUAUAUAUAUUUACAGUGUAUAUAUAUAUAUAUAUAUAUAUAUAUAUAUAUGUGGAUGCACAGGCAUUCUCCAUAAACUUAAUGAGACAGAUACUCUAGUGGUCAUUACUACAUUGCCUACAGAGAAUGCUUUAACUUAGGCAAGCAAUAUGGCAGCUCUGAUAAAUGAGAAGUUACUAUCAUAUGAGAGGGAGCAACUGCAAUGUCCAGUGUUCCGGCUCCGGAGUGAAGCAGAGGAUGGCUGACCAACUGCUUUGGCAGGAUACCUGUAGAGUGGCAAUGAAACCGUUACCAUUACUGAGUUUAGUAAUGGUAAGGGUUCUGUUGCUGCUCUUCCAUUCGCCAUUGAGAUUCCAGAGGAAGCAAGCGCAAUGAAUAAAUGAAUGCACCAUAACUGUCACCUUCUGCAUGUCUGCGACUUCUUAUUUCAUGAAUUGUGUACAAAAUAAAAUGUUCUAAUUACAAAAUG
This is a long non-coding RNA of Xenopus tropicalis (tropical clawed frog), 1070 nucleotides long. RefSeq lists it as uncharacterized. Lineage: Eukaryota; Metazoa; Chordata; Amphibia; Anura; Pipidae. The record is from RefSeq and is a predicted model, not a curated record. The transcript is spliced from 2 exons.